GACGAACGCUGGCGGCGUGCCUAACACAUGCAAGUGGAGCGACGAACCGGGCUUCGGCCCGGGGCCAAGCCGCGAACGGGUGAGUAACACGUGGGUAACCUGCCCUGAUGAUUGGGACAACCCGAGGAAACUCGGGCUAAUACCGAAUGUGCCCUCCGACCAUAAGGUCUGCGGGAAAGAAGCUUCGGCCUCCGCAUCGGGAUGGGCCCGCGGCGCAUUAGCUUGUUGGUG
This 231-nucleotide ribosomal RNA is filed under the name uncultured bacterium. RNAcentral describes it as "partial 16S ribosomal RNA". It matches the Rfam family "Bacterial small subunit ribosomal RNA", at positions 28 to 254 of the family's 1533-position model. The record is from RNAcentral.